This 491-nucleotide ribosomal RNA is filed under the name Escherichia coli. RNAcentral describes it as "partial 23S ribosomal RNA". It matches the Rfam family "Bacterial large subunit ribosomal RNA", at positions 2452 to 2925 of the family's 2925-position model. Lineage: Bacteria; Pseudomonadati; Pseudomonadota; Gammaproteobacteria; Enterobacterales; Enterobacteriaceae. The record is from RNAcentral.
ACGGAUAAAAGGUACUCCGGGGAUAACAGGCUGAUACCGCCCAAGAGUUCAUAUCGACGGCGGUGUUUGGCACCUCGAUGUCGGCUCAUCACAUCCUGGGGCUGAAGUAGGUCCCAAGGGUAUGGCUGUUCGCCAUUUAAAGUGGUACGCGAGCUGGGUUUAGAACGUCGUGAGACAGUUCGGUCCCUAUCUGCCGUGGGCGCUGGAGAAUUGAGGGGGGCUGCUCCUAGUACGAGAGGACCGGAGUGGACGCAUCACUGGUGUUCGGGUUGUCAUGCCAAUGGCACUGCCCGGUAGCUAAAUGCGGAAGAGAUAAGUGCUGAAAGCAUCUAAGCACGAAACUUGCCCCGAGAUGAGUUCUCCCUGACUCCUUGAGAGUCCUGAAGGAACGUUGAAGACGACGACGUUGAUAGGCCGGGUGUGUAAGCGCAGCGAUGCGUUGAGCUAACCGGUACUAAUGAACCGUGAGGCUUAACCUUACAACGCCGAAG